This 501-nucleotide ribosomal RNA is filed under the name uncultured bacterium. Its description in RNAcentral is "partial 16S ribosomal RNA". It matches the Rfam family "Bacterial small subunit ribosomal RNA", at positions 30 to 523 of the family's 1533-position model. The record is from RNAcentral.
AUUGAACGCUGGCGGCAUGCCUUACACAUGCAAGUCGAACGGCAGCACGGGAGCAAUCCUGGUGGCGAGUGGCGAACGGGUGAGUAAAGUAUCGGAACGUGCCCAGUCGUGGGGGAUAACGUAGCGAAAGUUACGCUAAUACCGCAUACGAUCUAUGGAUGAACGCGGGGGAUCGCAAGACCUCGCGCGAUUGGAGCGGCCGAUAACAGAUUAGGUAGUUGGUGGGGGUAAAGGCUCACCAAGCCGACGAUCUGUAGCUGGUCUGAGAGGACGACCAGCCACACUGGGACUGAGACACGGCCCAGACUCCUACGGGAGGCAGCAGUGGGGAAUUUUGGACAAUGGGCGAAAGCCUGAUCCAGCCAUGCCGCGUGCAGGAUGAAGGCCUUCGGGUUGUAAACUGCUUUUGUACGGAACGAAAAGGCUUGGCCUAAUAAGCUGAGCUCAUGACGGUACCGUAAGAAUAAGCACCGGCUAACUACGUGCCAGCCGCCGCGGUAA